GAUGAACGCUGGCGGCGUGCCUAAUACAUGCAAGUCGAGCGAACGGACGAGAAGCUUGCUUCUCUGAUGUUAGCGGCGGACGGGUGAGUAACACGUGGAUAACCUACCUAUAAGACUGGGAUAACUUCGGGAAACCGGAGCUAAUACCGGAUAAUAUUUUGAACCGCAUGGUUCAAAAGUGAAAGACGGUCUUGCUGUCACUUAUAGAUGGAUCCGCGCUGCAUUAGCUAGUUGGUAAGGUAACGGCUUACCAAGGCAACGAUGCAUAGCCGGCCUGAGAGGGUGAUCGGCCACACUGGAACUGAGACACGGUCCAGACUCCUACGGGAGGCAGCAGUAGGGAAUCUUCCGCAAUGGGCGAAAGCCUGACGGAGCAACGCCGCGUGAGUGAUGAAGGUCUUCGGAUCGUAAAACUCUGUUAUUAGGGAAGAACAUAUGUGUAAGUAACUGUACACAUCUUGACGGUACCUAAUCAGAAAGCCACGGCUAACUACGUG
This 497-nucleotide ribosomal RNA is filed under the name uncultured bacterium. Its description in RNAcentral is "partial 16S ribosomal RNA". It matches the Rfam family "Bacterial small subunit ribosomal RNA", at positions 28 to 507 of the family's 1533-position model. The record is from RNAcentral.